Molecule: ribosomal RNA, 420 nt
Filed under: bacterium AC3006
Lineage: Bacteria
Description: bacterial SSU rRNA
Rfam family: Bacterial small subunit ribosomal RNA
Source: RNAcentral
AUGAACGCUGGCGGCGUGCUUAACACAUGCAAGUCGAACGAAGCCAAAAGGAAGCUUGCUUUCUUUGAAGCUUAGUGGCGGACGGGUGAGUAACGCGUGAGUAACCUGCCCCUCAGUGGGGAAUAACACAGAGAAAUCUGUGCUAAUACCGCAUAAUGUCUUCUUGCCGCAUGACAGGAAGACCAAAGGAUUUAUUCGCUGAAGGAUGGACUCGCGUCCGAUUAGCUAGUUGGUGAGGUAACGGCCCACCAAGGCGACGAUCGGUAGCCGAACUGAGAGGUUGAUCGGCCACAUUGGGACUGAGACACGGCCCAGACUCCUACGGGAGGCAGCAGUGGGGAAUAUUGGGCAAUGGGCGAAAGCCUGACCCAGCAACGCCGCGUGAAGGAAGACGGUCUUCGGAUUGUAAACUUCUUUGAU